RNAcentral lists this ribosomal RNA (498 nucleotides) under uncultured bacterium. Its description in RNAcentral is "partial 16S ribosomal RNA". It matches the Rfam family "Bacterial small subunit ribosomal RNA", at positions 28 to 507 of the family's 1533-position model. The record is from RNAcentral.
GACGAACGCUGGCGGCGUGCCUAAUACAUGCAAGUCGAGCGGACGAAUCGAAAGCUUGCUUUUGAUUCGUUAGCGGCGGACGGGUGAGUAACACGUGGGCAACCUGCCCUGUAGACGGGGAUAACACCGAGAAAUCGGUGCUAAUACCGGAUAACACGAAAUGUCGCAUGACGUUUCGUUGAAAGACGGCGCAAGCUGUCGCUACAGGAUGGGCCCGCGGCGCAUUAGCUAGUUGGUGAGGUAACGGCUCACCAAGGCGACGAGGCGUAGCCGACCUGAGAGGGUGAUCGGCCACACUGGGACUGAGACACGGCCCAGACUCCUACGGGAGGCAGCAGUAGGGAAUCUUCCGCAAUGGACGAAAGUCUGACGGAGCAACGCCGCGUGAGCGAAGAAGGCCUUCGGGUCGUAAAGCUCUGUUGUUAGGGAAGAACAAGUAACGCAGUAACUGGCGUUACCGUGACGGUACCUAACGAGAAAGCCACGGCUAACUACGUG